This 305-nucleotide long non-coding RNA is filed under the name Carica papaya (papaya). RNAcentral describes it as "long non-coding RNA (CPAP_LNC008091)". The record is from RNAcentral. Lineage: Eukaryota; Viridiplantae; Streptophyta; Magnoliopsida; Brassicales; Caricaceae.
AGAUCAUGUACCAUUCUAGUAAAGGUGAUGUAGUUGCAGAUGCUCUUAGCUGGAAUGAAUAAAUCUUAUUGGGUCAAUUGUUGAAUUCUAUCUAGAGGAUGCUCAAGACUAUUCAAGGUCUCUACUUGAACCAUUAUGGCAUCAAUGCAUACUUUGUCCAGAUCUGAAUUCAGGGGACCCUCUUCAUGAGAAUUUGGGAAGCUCAAGCACCGAAUCAGGAGAUUUUGAAGCACAUCAACAAGUUUGCUUAUGAGGAAGUCUACGACUUUAGAAUAAUCGAUGAUGGAUUGUUAAGAUUCUGAGAU